This is an RNA transcript of Daucus carota subsp. sativus, 1146 nucleotides long. RefSeq lists it as uncharacterized. The record is from RefSeq and is a predicted model, not a curated record. The transcript is spliced from 5 exons. NCBI's taxonomy places the organism in Eukaryota, Viridiplantae, Streptophyta, Magnoliopsida, Apiales, Apiaceae.
CGGUACAGCGGGCGAGAUGAAUAAAGUGGAAUGAUAAAAUAGUUGGGGUAUGUUUCCGAUGGGUCCGAAGAAAGGGAAGGGGAAAGAGAAGUGCAAGGACUCAAGUGAGAUGAGUCCCAGUCCUAAAUAUCCGGCGUGUCUUCGCGCCGUAAGCCCCACCUCCGUAGCAAUCACCAUCCACGCCAAGCCUGGUUCCAAAUUGGCUUCUAUUACUGAUUUCAAUGACGACGCAUUAAGUGUUCAAAUCGACGCUCCUGCAAAAGAUGGUGAAGCUAAUGCUGCUCUCCUCGAUUAUAUCAGCUCCGUUUUGGGUGUUAAAAGGCGGCAGCUGUCUAUUGGUUCUGGUUCCAAAUCAAGGGGAAAACUUGUCUUGGUGGAAGAGGUCACUUUACAGGGCGUCUUCGAUGCUUUAGACAAAUGUUUCAAAGCCCGGUGAAGUCAUACACAUGAUUGCUUUGUCGAAAAUGGAACUGAAUUCCUUACAGAAUCCAUGUUAAUGGCCUAAAACAAGGUUCAAACGGGUUUGAUCUUUCUCAAUCAUUCCGGCCGAAACUUGUACGCAUAGAAUAAGAUUUGAACCUCGACUCUGAAGAAUCUUCUACAACCAUGCGGAUCCCUGAAUUCUAUUAUCCAGCAUGAAGUGAAGUGAAUUUUCUUUCCAGUACAAAUAAUGGUUAACUUCCGAGUAAGAAUUGAAUCUAAAUCCCACUCUUUCCUAAAUUUUGUGAUCCUCUUCAGUUCUAUUAUCCAGCAUGAAGUGAAGUGAAUUUUCUUUCCGGUAUAAAUGAUGGUUAACUUCCGAGUAAGAAUGGAAUCUAAAUCCCACUCUUUCCUAAAUUCUGUGAUCCUCUUCAGUAGCUGUUUUACAGUUUGGGUAUAGCCACCCAACCUUCUCAUAUUUCUGAAGAUCUUGGUGAAUGUUCUAAACCCUUUCCUUAUCCUAUAUAGAGGCUAGAUUCUAUCAGUGUUUACACUAGAUGUGUUAUCGUGAAGAACAUAUACAUCUUGUAACCUAGCAGCUCUUAGUGAUAAAAAUAUAAAUCACUGAUAAAAAUAUAAAUCACUGAUAGAAUAGUUUUAUUCUACCGUGAACAGUUUUUGUAAGUUGAAUAAAAACUGAUUUAAUCUUUCAUUGUGUUCUUAUUA